CGUGCGGAGCUUACCAUGCAGUCGAGCGGAUGAAGGUAGCUUGCUACCGGAUUCAGCGGCGGACGGGUGAGUAAUGCUUAGGAAUCUGCCUAUUAGUGGGGGACAACGUUCCGAAAGGAGCGCUAAUACCGCAUACGUCCUACGGGAGAAAGCAGGGGACCUUUGGGCCUUGCGCUAAUAGAUGAGCCUAAGUCGGAUUAGCUAGUUGGUAGGGUAAAGGCCUACCAAGGCGACGAUCUGUAGCGGGUCUGAGAGGAUGAUCCGCCACACUGGGACUGAGACACGGCCCAGACUCCUACGGGAGGCAGCAGUGGGGAAUAUUGGACAAUGGGGGGAACCCUGAUCCAGCCAUGCCGCGUGUGUGAAGAAGGCCUUUUGGUUGUAAAGCACUUUAAGCGAGGAGGAGGCUACCUAGAUUAAUACUUUAGGAUAGUGGACGUUACUCGCAGAAUAAGCACCGGCUAACUCUGUGCCAGCAGCCGCGGUAAUACAGAGGGUGCGAGCGUUAAUCGGAUUUACUGGGCGUAAAGCGUGCGUAGGCGGCCAAUUAAGUCAAAUGUGAAAUCCCCGAGCUUAACUUGGGAAUUGCAUUCGAUACUGGUUGGCUAGAGUAUGGGAGAGGAUGGUAGAAUUCCAGGUGUAGCGGUGAAAUGCGUAGAGAUCUGGAGGAAUACCGAUGGCGAAGGCAGCCAUCUGGCCUAAUACUGACGCUGAGGUACGAAAGCAUGGGGAGCAAACAGGAUUAGAUACCCUGGUAGUCCAUGCCGUAAACGAUGUCUACUAGCCGUUGGGGCCCUUGAGGCUUUAGUGGCGCAGCUAACGCGAUAAGUAGACCGCCUGGGGAGUACGGUCGCAAGACUAAAACUCAAAUGAAUUGACGGGGGCCCGCACAAGCGGUGGAGCAUGUGGUUUAAUUCGAUGCAACGCGAAGAACCUUACCUGGCCUUGACAUACAGAGAACUUUCCAGAGAUGGAUUGGUGCCUUCGGAACUCUGAUACGGUGCUGCUGGCUGUCUCCACCCCGGGCCGGGAAUGUUGGGUUAGUUCCCAACGAACG
Molecule: ribosomal RNA, 1057 nt
Filed under: Acinetobacter radioresistens
Lineage: Bacteria; Pseudomonadati; Pseudomonadota; Gammaproteobacteria; Moraxellales; Moraxellaceae
Description: bacterial SSU rRNA
Rfam family: Bacterial small subunit ribosomal RNA
Source: RNAcentral